This 468-nucleotide ribosomal RNA is filed under the name uncultured bacterium. RNAcentral describes it as "partial 16S ribosomal RNA". It matches the Rfam family "Bacterial small subunit ribosomal RNA", at positions 28 to 507 of the family's 1533-position model. The record is from RNAcentral.
GACGAACGCUGGCGGCGUGCUUAACACAUGCAAGUCGAACGGAAAGGCCCUGCUUUUGUGGGGUGCUCGAGUGGCGAACGGGUGAGUAACACGUGAGUAACCUGCCCUUGACUUUGGGAUAACUUCAGGAAACUGGGGCUAAUACCGGAUAGGAGCUCCUGCUGCAUGGUGGGGGUUGGAAAGUUUCGGCGGUUGGGGAUGGACUCGCGGCUUAUCAGCUUGUUGGUGGGGUAGUGGCUUACCAAGGCUUUGACGGGUAGCCGGCCUGAGAGGGUGACCGGCCACAUUGGGACUGGGAUACGGCCCAGACUCCUACGGGAGGCAGCAGUGGGGAAUAUUGCACAAUGGGCGGAAGCCUGAUGCAGCAACGCCGCGUGCGGGAUGACGGCCUUCGGGUUGUAAACCGUUUUCGCCUGUGACGAAGCGUGAGUGACGGUAAUGGGUAAAGAAGCACCGGCUAACUACGUG